Non-coding RNA from Caenorhabditis briggsae, 104 nucleotides. NCBI's taxonomy places the organism in Eukaryota, Metazoa, Nematoda, Chromadorea, Rhabditida, Rhabditidae. The record is from RefSeq and is a predicted model, not a curated record.
CUUUUUGGGGUAAUUUUUGCGAAAAAACCCAAAAACCAAGUCAAAAAUUGAGUUUAACGAGUUUUUUUACCCGAAAAAUGUGAUAAUUCAUGGUGAAAGUUAUA